GGGCCCGCACAAGCGGUGGAGCAUGUGGUUUAAUUCGAUGAUACGCGAGGAACCUUACCAGGACUUAAAUGUAAGUUGCAUGAUUCAGAAAUGAAUCUUUCUUCGGACUACUUACAAGGUGCUGCAUGGUUGUCGUCAGCUCGUGCCGUGAGGUGUCAGGUUAAGUCCUAUAACGAGCGCAACCCCUAUCGUUAGUUGCCAUCAAGUAAAGUUGGGAACUCUAGCGAAACUGCCGGUGCAAACCGUGAGGAAGGUGGGGAUGACGUCAAAUCAUCACGGCCCUUACGUUCUGGGCUACACACGUGCUACAAUGGUAGUGACAGAGGGCAGCCACUGGGUGACCAGGAGCG
RNAcentral lists this ribosomal RNA (350 nucleotides) under uncultured bacterium. RNAcentral's name for it is "bacterial SSU rRNA". It matches the Rfam family "Bacterial small subunit ribosomal RNA", at positions 917 to 1269 of the family's 1533-position model. The record is from RNAcentral.